This 6736-nucleotide long non-coding RNA is filed under the name Nicotiana tabacum (common tobacco). RNAcentral's name for it is "long non-coding RNA (NTAB_LNC012954)". Lineage: Eukaryota; Viridiplantae; Streptophyta; Magnoliopsida; Solanales; Solanaceae. The record is from RNAcentral.
GCUAAACCAUUAUACAAUCUUCUUGGAUUUCCACGUAGAUCCAACUCAUGAAAAAUAAGCUACUUAAAGCAUUCAAUUCUGAAUGUCCCAAUAUCUUUAUACAUCAUAUCUAUUUACAUGGAAAUUCCAUAUUUAUCUAGCAGUAACCACAAACAAUGAACCAUUGACUAACAACUCAUAAUAAAAAAAUGAACAAAACUCGAUCUAUGGAAUAAUAGACAGACUCAGUCUGAACUAUCAAACAAAUACAUUAAGGACUACAAUUGAAAAUCUAGGCAAUAGCCUUUCAUAAGGCUGCCAGCUUUUCCAUAUAUAAGCAGAAAAUUUGUUUCAACUUUGAACUCACAUGGAUAUGACCAUGUCAAGAUCAGAUCCACCAAGAGCAUGGCUACACACAUGUAGACAACUAUGUUAUCACACAAACUCAGCUAACAAAACAGGAAUAUUAGACAAGAAUGAACAAAUGGAAAGAAUAUAUGUAACCUAAAACACAACAUAUAACAAAUAUUGUAUUUAACACACAAGAAACAUGUUUUCAUAGCAUGAGAAACAUUGAAUUAACAAAGAGUUACAUGGUCAAGGAAAAACAUAAAUGUUAUUGCAUUUAAUGAAGAUGUAUUGCAUCAUAACAACCUAGCAUUAAGCAAAAUCUCUUGCGUUCAUAUUAAGUUAGAUUUACAGAGAUUUGAGCACAAGACAAGGUGUGUACCUUGCUGCUUAAGAACUGCUCCAAAAAAUGCUUAGUAGAUGCAAAUAAUUCAGCCGCAAAGAGAUGGAUUUUCAACAGGUGAUCAGUAGAGAGCAAAAAACAAGAAAUAGCCACAUACAGCCUCAAACUUAAUCCAUUUUCAACUUGUGGAAACCAGAAAUCCCAAAGAAAUUCUUAAAAUUUUGCUCAAAUCAGAGGAAAAAAAAUUAGCUCUAAUGAAAUAGUGCUGAACCUUUAGGAGUGUUUUAGGGUUCUGAAAAUCUCCCUAAAUGAGUAAAGAAAGGUUCCAUUUAUAGGUAACCAAUGACAUGUGUUGAAAAGGAUAAGGGAAUUAUUCCCUUAAGCCACAAAAGCAUCUUUCAACAGAAUUGGAUAGCUGGCAGCUCCUAAUUGGUUUCAGUAUUUUGUACUGGCCAAAUAUAGCCAGCUGCCCAUAAUCUAGAACCUUUUAACAUAGCCUUAUCUGAAUUUCUAUUCACCUACCCUUCAAACAACCCCCUAAAAUUUUCUUUAUUGUUCAAUUAGCCCUACAAGUUUCCAUUAAUGCUGAAACAGUCAAUAUAAGACUACUGAAUGAAAUAAAAGCGGACCUUAGGCUAAUUAGGCGGAUGUUAAUUAAACUAAACUAAUUAGGCGAUUAUGCAUACUAACCAAAUAAUUCACACAAUAAAGUAGCUAAACACUGAUUAAUAUUAAACUAAAGUAAUUAAGAAUUAAGCUAAGUAGGCAGGAAUUAAACCAAAUUAACAAACCUAAUCGAACAAUUAGCAAAUUGUAAUGCUAAUGAAUCUGAAACAGAAAUAAACAGAUUAAUGAACCCUAAAAAACCUACUGACUAAGCAUGAGAAAAUCCAAUUAAUCCAUAGAUUAUUGUUACCAAAAUUUCUUCAUUUUUAGAUCAAGUGAAAAGGAAAAGAAAAGAAACAGAGUAAAGAAGGAGAGAAGAAAAGAAAAGAAAGGAAAAUAAGAAGAAUAAUCAAAGAAAUAGAAAGAGGAAGAAAACCAACCGAGAUACCUAGACUAGGCGGACGAUGGUUGGCUCAGACGAUACUCUGGCCUGCUCCGAUUUAAGCCAAAAUUAGUGUUAAUCGAAUGUUCUUAUUGAGAACAAACAACUAACACCAGUUUCGAGCUAAAUCGCUCUUGGAAACUUGAAGACAUGGAACUUAGGUUUUUACAUGUUACUAGAUCUAAAAUUAGCCAGAUUUAGCUGAGCUUUUGGGGAAAUUGAUAGAGGAUCGAGGCUUAGAGGGUGUGGGGGUUAUGGGGUAUGAAUUUGGGUGGGUUUGGAGACGGUUGGGUGGUGGACGCCAGCCAUUGGAGUGAGAGCAUUUGGGGCGGCUAGGGUUAGGGUUUGAGAGAGACAAAGAGGUGAAUAUGAUCUCUAGGGUUUUGGGGGGAAAAGGGAUUCAGACAGUUAAAUGGAAAGAGAUGAGGGGUUGCGGACCGUUAGAUUAAAUUUAAUGAACAAAUGAGAUGGAGUGUGACCAAACGACGUCGUUUUGGUUUCAGGGGGGAGGGGGGGUACUAGACUGGGCAGGGGUUGGGCUAGGCGGAACUGGGGCAAAAUUAAUUGGGCUUUGACACAUUUGGCCCAAUUCGAGUCCAAACAAGCCUUCUUUCUCCUUGUUUAUUUGACCCAAAUUUAAUUAAUACUAAUUACCAAUCACUAAUAAAUCUAAAUAACCCUAAACAAGACCUAAUAAUGAAGUUGAUUUAAUUAGCUAAUUCUAACACAAAUAAUUAAUUAAUUUUAGAACUAAUGAAAGAAAAAUACUAAAACUAAAACUAAAAAAAUGGAACAAUGUAUAUUUUUUUGAUUUUGUUUUGUGGAUGGGAUUAAUUAACAAUUAAACUAAAAUGCAACUACCAAACCAAGAAUGCAAUGCAUGGAACUCGAAUAUAUAAUUUUUGGGUAUUUUCUAUACUUUUAACAUAUGCAAAAAUGCACCUAAAAAUGCGUAUAAUUAAACAAAUAUCCUUAAAAUUCUAUAAAAAUUAAAAUAAACUACAAAAUUUUAUUUUGUGAUUUUGUAGGAGUAUUUUGGGUUGGGCAAAAAUCACGUGCUCACAACUGCCCCUCUUUGCUCGGGAACACGAAGAGUUUUUGGGCAAAGAUAAAGUGAGCGAAUACGAGCAAUUUUUACCCGCUUGGAUACUCUAUGGGAAUCAUUUUUGAAAGAUCCGACCGAACCUUGCUUCUGAGGCUGCCUACAUAUCCUUGGCUAUAAAGGAAUCAGGUCAGUGUAGUUCUGGAAGUUUUUGUAGGUGGGACUACCGGGAAGCUGUGAUUUCACUGCCGCUGCUGCUACUGCUUCCUGAACUCCUUAUUGCACCACAACAAUAAUGAAAAGAAUCUAGGCAAAUCUAUGCUCUAUAAAUUACAAGAUUCAUAUCUAUAUGUCUUCGACUUGAUCUUGAACUUUUGUUGUUCUAUCGCGCAUCUUGAACUGUUGAAUCACAUUCUUGAGGUGAGCUUUUGUUAUUUCUAACUUGAUUGACUUCAUGCUUCAGGCGGGUUAAUGCUGUUAUCUUGAGCUUACUUCUAAAAUGUACUCCCUCAUUCUCUAGGUGAGCGCCUGAUGCUAAUACUGAAAAUGACUUCCCUUGUUAUCUAGGUGGGCGCCUGAUGCUAAAACUGAAAAUGAAUUCCCUUGUUCUUCAGGUGGGCGCCUGAUGCCGAAACUUCCCUUGCUAUCCAGGUGGGCGCCUGAUGACAAAACUAAAAUGAAUUCCCUUGUUCUCCAGGUGGGCGCCUGAUACAAAAGCUAAAAAUGAAUUCACUUGUUAUCCAGGUGGGUGCCUGAUGCUGAAGCUAAAAAUGAAUUCCCUUGUUCUCCAGGUGAGCGCCUGAUGCUAAUACUGAAAAUGAAUUCCCUUGUUCUCCAGGUGUGCGCCUAAUGCUGAAACUAAAAAUGAAUUCCCUUGUUCUCCAGGUGGGUGCCUAAUGCUGAAACUAAAAAUGAAUUCCCUUCUUAUCCAGGUGGGCACCGGAUGCUAAAACUAAAGAUGAAUUCCUUUGUUAUCCAGGUGCGUGCCUGAUGCUAAAACUAAAAAUGAAUUCCCUUGUUCUCCAGGUGGGUGCUUGAUGCUAAAACUGAAAUGAAUUCCCUUGUUCUCCAGGUGGGUCCCUGAUGCUGAAACUAAAAAUGAAUUCCCUUCUUAUCUAGGUGGGCGCCUGAUGCUAAAACUAAAGAUGAACUCCCUUGUUAUCCAGGUGUGCGCCUGAUGCUAAACUAAAAAUGAAUUCCCUUGUUCUCCAGGUGAGCGCCUGAUGCUAAUACUGAAAAUGAAUUCCCUUGUUCUCCAGGAGGGCGCCUAAUGCUGAAACUAAAACUGAAUUCCCUUGUUCUCCAGGUAGGCGCCUGAUGGACACCUAUUUUCGGGUACACCUAUCCUAGACGGACUCAACCCCUGUGUUGAGUCCCCAAAGUCAAAUGCAUAUGAUGCAAACAAGCAUUUCUACUAGGGAUCCGACAUGAGGCUGUGUUAUUCUAGGUUUAAAACCUAGGUGUAUUGUUCUAGACCUAGCUUACCCGAGCAGACAACUUGAGCCGGGUGGGGCUACGUACUGGGAACCAAAAGGUCAUCCGGCUAUGUAACUGAUCCGAUCCUUGUUCUAAAUUAGGGUAUGACACUAACAGAAAAUAAGUCACGCCAGCGUGCACUUUCCAAAAGAUUAGAAGUGAGGGGUUUCGCAAUAGUUUAUAUACAGUUCAAAUAGUAUCAAAGCAGUAAAAAGUGGCAUUUAGCACAUCAUGCCCAAACAUGUAAUAGAAAUCAGAUAAUAAACAAAAGUCAAAUAUAACAAUUAUUCUAAGCUCGAAUUCUUGAACCCUGAACCAAAGAUUCUGAGUUCUUAUCCCCAGCAGAGUCGCUAGAGCUGUCACCUUUUUCUACCCCGGAGGGGGUAUAGGGGAGUUUUUCCAAGUAAAAUGACAAUAAUCGAAACGGGGUUAUUUAUUCAAGUUCAGAGUCGCCACUUGGGAUAAUUAAUGGUGUCCUAAGUCACCGGUUUAAAAUUCCGAAUCGAGGAAGUUUGACUCUAUUUUACAGUCCGUGAAACACCGAAAUUCGGGUAAGGAAUUAUGUUAACCCGGGAGAAGGUAUUAGGCAUUCUCGGGUUUUGUAAUUUUAGCACGGUCGCUCAACUAUUAUAAUUGGCCUAAUUAUCUGAUUAACUACAUAUUUUAAACCUAUUGUGCAUUUUUAACCUUUGACCGCUUUUAAUUAUUUAUGGAAUUAUUCUGGAACAAGUUACGAUUGUCGUACACUUGUAUGUUUGAUACACAUUGUGAAUUGUGUCAUGGGAAACGUACCCACGAUCUACAACACAUUUAAUUUAUUAACAUUAUUAAAAGUUGUGGCCAAGUCACAUAAAUGUACCCCCAGAUUUGAAAAUUAUGUAUCAUAACUACGUCACGGGAACUAUAACUGUAGCCAUGAUAAUUGUAUUAUAGCGUGCCUAAAGCAAACUGCGAAUGUUCAUGCUUACUUCUUGAAACUAAUUCGAAAAUUGUUUGAAGGCCACGAAUUAUAGCUAAGGCCUGGAAAGUUAUGCAUGCUUUUAACGAUUCUGAAAUAUUGGGCCAGCAAGAAACCUAUUAUGUUAAGUCCUUAAGAAUAAGAUUGUUGAAUUAAUUAUGCCCAAAACUGAGCCCAUGAAGCGGAAGAUACCCAGACCCCAUGCCAAGUCCGAUCUUGACCAAGCCAUCUCAUUCGGGCUAAAAUGAAGCCCAAUUAUUUUAAUAGGAAAAGUCUUUAGCAUGCUAAAGCUCUUGCUAAAAUUCAACCUCUGCUAAUACACAAAUAACUACACAAUUAUUCAAUUGAAAACGAAUAUGCAGCACUACUUUUAUUGAUUAAUAACGUUAACAUCACAUGUAUGGGCAUUUUUAUCAAUACUGAAUCCUAAGAUAACAAAUCCACGCAUUAUUUAGCAGUUGGACAAUGAUUUUCCUUUUUUGAAAGUUUAUGAACUUGGACCUUAGACUUACAGCAUUGGCAGCAUAAUAUUCUGCAUGCCCUUUCAAUGAAAUAAACAACAGAAAAGGGCUAAACCAUUAUACAAUCUUCGUGGAUUUCCACGUAGAUCCAGCUCAUGAAAAAUAAGUUACUUAAAGCAUUCAAUUCUGAACCUCCGAAUAUUUUUAUACAUCAUAUCUAUUUACAUAAAAAUUCCAUAUUUAUCUAGCAGUAACCACAAACCAUGAACCAUUGAUUAACAACUCACGAUAAAAAAAAUGAACAAAACUCAAUCUAUGGAAUGAUAGACAGACUCAGCCUGAACUAUCAAACAAAUAAAUUAAGGACUACAAUUGAAUAUCUAGGCAAUAGUCUUUCAUAAGGCUGCCAAUUUUUCCAUAUAUAAGCAGAAAUUUGUUUCACCUUUGAACUCACAUGGAUCUGACCAUGUCGAGAUCAGAUCCACCAAGAGCAAGGCUACAGUGUUAUCACACUCAUCCAACAAAACAGGAAUAUUAAACAAGAAUGAACAAAUGAAAAUAGUAUAUGUAACCUAAAAUAAAACAGAUAACAAAUACUGCAUUUAACACACAAGAAACAUGAUUUCAUAGCAUGAGAAACACUGAAUUAAUAAAGAGUUACAUGGUCAAGGAAAAACUUAAAUGUUAUUGCAUUUAAUGAAGAUGAAUUUCAUCAUAACAACCUAGCAUUCAACAAAAUCUCUUGCGUUCAUAUUAAGUUAGAUUUAUAGAGAUAUGAGCAGAAGACAAGGUGUGUACCUUGCUACUUAAGAACUACUUCAAAAAAUGCUAAGUAGAUGCAAAUAAUUCAGCAGCAAAGAGAUGGGCUUUCAGUAGGAGAUCAAUAGAGAGAAAACAGCAAGAAACAGCCACACACAUCCUCAAACUUAAUCAAUUUUCGACUUGUGGAAACUAGAAAUCCCAAAGAAUUUCUUAAAAUUUUGCUCUAAUCAAAGGAAAAGAGAAUCAGCUCUAAUGAAACAGUGUUGAACUUUUAGGAGUAUUUUAGGGUUCUAAAAAUCUCCCUAAAUGAGUGAAGAAA